CACCAGGUUGAUUCUGCCUGACGUAGACGCUAUUCCCUAAGAUUAACCCAUGCAUGUUUUUGACAUUUGAAAAAUGGACUGCUCAGUAAUACUCACUUUAUUUAAUGUACAUUUGAAAAUAACUACGUUAAAGUGUAGAUAAGAUGUGUACAGUAAGAGUGAGACCUAUCAGCUAGUUGUUAAGGUAAUGGCUUAACAAGGCAGUGACGGGUAACGGUAUUACUUUGUAAUAUUCCGGAGAAGGAGCCUGAGAGACGGCUACUAAGUCUAAGGAUUGCAGCAGGGGCGAAACUUGACCUAUGGAUUUUAUCUGAGGCAGUUAUGGGAAGUAAUAUUAUAUUGUUUCAUAUUGUAAAAGUAUAUGAGGUGAUUAAUUGGAGGGCAAAUCAAGUGCCAGCAGCCGCGGUAAUACUUGUUCCAAGAGUGUGUAUGAUGAUUGAUGCAGUUAAAAAGUCCGUAGUUUAUAUUUAAGAAGCAAUAUGAGGUGUACUGUAUAGUUGGGAGAGAGAUGAAAUGUGACGACCCUGACUGGACGAACAGAAGCGAAAGCUGUACACUUGUAUGUAUUUUUUGAACAAGGACGUAAGCUGGAGGAGCGAAGAUGAUUAGAUACCAUUGUAGUUCCAGCAGUAAACUAUGCCAACGAUGUGAUAUGAUAUUAAUUGUAUUACAUGAUAGAAAUUUGAGUUUUUUGGCUCUGGGGAUAGUAUGAUCGCAAGAUUGAAAAUUAAAGAAAUUGACGGAAGAAUACCACAAGGAGUGGAUUGUGCGGCUUAAUUUGACUCAACGCGAGGUAACUUACCAAUAUUUUAUUAUUCAGAGAAGAUAUAUUAUCUGAGGAUGAUAAUAGUGGUGCAUGGCCGUUUUCAAUGGAUGCUGUGAAGUUUUGAUUAAUUUCAACAAGACGUGAGACCCUUUUUUUAUAGACAGACACAAUCAGUGUAGGAAGGAAAGGAUUAAAACAGGUCCGUUAUGCCCUCAGACAUUUUGGGCUGCACGCGCAAUACAAUAGAUAUAUAAUCUUUAUGGGAUAAUAUUUUGUAAGAGAUAUUUGAACUUGGAAUUGCUAGUAAAUUUUAUUAAAUAAGUAGAAUUGAAUGUGUCCCUGUUCUUUGUACACACCGCCCGUCGCUAUCUAAGAUGAUAUGUGUUGUGAAAUUAGUGAAAACUACUUGAACAAUAUGUAUUAGAUCUGAUAUAAGUCGUAACAUGGUUGCUGUUGGAGAACCAUUAGCAGGAUCAUAA
Molecule: ribosomal RNA, 1245 nt
Filed under: uncultured Nosema
Lineage: Eukaryota; Fungi; Microsporidia; Nosematidae
Description: Microsporidia small subunit ribosomal RNA
Rfam family: Microsporidia small subunit ribosomal RNA
Source: Rfam by way of RNAcentral